ACAGCAGCCGCCGCGGUAAUACGUAGGGUGCAAGCGUUACUCGGAAUUACUGGGCGUAAAGCGUGUGUAGGUGGUUGUUUAAGUCUGUCGUGAAAGCCCUGGGCUCAACCUGGGAAUUGCGAUGGAUACUGGGCGACUAGAGUGCGGUAGAGGAUAGUGGAAUUUCCGGUGUAGCAGUGAAAUGCGUAGAGAUCGGAAGGAACAUCUGUGGCGAAGGCGACUAUCUGGGCCAACACUGACACUGAGACACGAAAGCGUGGGGAGCAAACAGGAUUAGAUACCCCCGUAGUCCCUGUCUCUUAUAC
This 305-nucleotide ribosomal RNA is filed under the name uncultured bacterium. RNAcentral's name for it is "partial 16S ribosomal RNA". It matches the Rfam family "Bacterial small subunit ribosomal RNA", at positions 508 to 807 of the family's 1533-position model. The record is from RNAcentral.